AGAUAUGAGGGCGAUCUGGCUGUGACAUCUGUCACCCCAUUGAUUGCCAGGGUUGAUUCAGCUGACCUGGCUGGUUAGGUGGGCGUCCCCUUCCUCCCUCACCACUCCAUGUUCUUCCCUCCAGAAGCUGCACGCUCGAAGAGGACAACCAACCCUGCUAGAGGAGGAUCGUUCUUCAGGCAUGGGAAUACAAGUAGCUGGGCUCCCCUGCUAGAACCCCCAAACAACUCUCAAGACCAACAGACAGGAGAACAAGGUGGGAAUUGGGAGACCUGAGAACUAGUGCUUUUGGUUCAGCCACAAAUUCACU
This 310-nucleotide small nuclear RNA is filed under the name Carlito syrichta (Philippine tarsier). RNAcentral describes it as "7SK RNA (ENSTSYG00000021032.2)". It matches the Rfam family "7SK RNA". Rfam says of the family: 7SK was discovered as an abundant small nuclear RNA in the mid-70s but a possible function has only recently been suggested. The record is from Rfam by way of RNAcentral. Lineage: Eukaryota; Metazoa; Chordata; Mammalia; Primates; Tarsiidae.